Molecule: ribosomal RNA, 820 nt
Filed under: uncultured Rhodocyclaceae bacterium
Lineage: Bacteria; Pseudomonadati; Pseudomonadota; Betaproteobacteria; Rhodocyclales; Rhodocyclaceae
Description: bacterial SSU rRNA
Rfam family: Bacterial small subunit ribosomal RNA
Source: RNAcentral
CUGCGGAUGCUUUACCUGCAAGUCGGGCGGCAGCAUGGACUUCGGUCUGAUGGCUAGCGGCGAACGGGUGAGUAAUGCAUCGGAACGUACCUAGUCGUGGGGGAUAACUAGUCGAAAGAUUAGCUAAUACCGCAUACGUCCUACGGGAGAAAGCAGGGGAUCGCAAGACCUUGCGCGAUUGGAGCGGCCGAUGUCUGAUUAGCUAGUUGGUGGGGUAAAGGCUCACCAAGGCGACGAUCAGUAGCGGGUCUGAGAGGAUGAUCCGCCACACUGGAACUGAGACACGGUCCAGACUCCUACGGGAGGCAGCAGUGGGGAAUUUUGGACAAUGGGGGCAACCCUGAUCCAGCCAUUCCGCGUGAGUGAAGAAGGCCUUCGGGUUGUAAAGCUCUUUCGGCAGGAACGAAACGGUUCGCUCUAACAUAGCGGACUACUGACGGUACCUGAAGAAGAAGCACCGGCUAACUACGUGCCAGCAGCCGCGGUAAUACGUAGGGUGCGAGCGUUAAUCGGAAUUACUGGGCGUAAAGCGUGCGCAGGCGGCUUUUUAAGCCAGAUGUGAAAUCCCCGGGCUUAACCUGGGAACUGCAUUUGGAACUGGAAGGCUAGAGUGCGGCAGAGGGGGGUAGAAUUCCACGUGUAGCAGUGAAAUGCGUAGAGAUGUGGAGGAAUACCGAUGGCGAAGGCAGCCCCCUGGGUCGACACUGACGCUCAUGCACGAAAGCGUGGGGAGCAAACAGGAUUAGAUACCCUGGUAGUCCACGCCCUAAACGAUGUCAACUAGUUGUUGGGAGGAGUGAAAUCCUUUAGUAACGAAGCU